GACAGAGGGUGCAAACGUUGUUCGGAAUUACUGGGCGUAAAGCGCGUGUAGGCGGCCCUGCAAGUCGGACGUGAAAUCCCUCGGCUUAACCGGGGAACUGCGUCCGAUACUGGUUGGCUUGAGUUUGGGAGAGGGAUGCGGAAUUCCAGGUGUAGCGGUGAAAUGCGUAGAUAUCUGGAGGAACACCGGUGGCGAAGGCGGCAUCCUGGACCAAUACUGACGCUGAGGAGCGAAAGCCAGGGGAGCAAACGGG
RNAcentral lists this ribosomal RNA (253 nucleotides) under uncultured bacterium. RNAcentral describes it as "partial 16S ribosomal RNA". It matches the Rfam family "Bacterial small subunit ribosomal RNA", at positions 524 to 776 of the family's 1533-position model. The record is from RNAcentral.